This 102-nucleotide microRNA precursor is filed under the name Marmota monax (woodchuck). The record is from RNAcentral. Lineage: Eukaryota; Metazoa; Chordata; Mammalia; Rodentia; Sciuridae.
AGUAGGAUAGCUUGGUCAAAUGGGAUUCCAUUCCAAGUUUUCUAAGGAAUCUCCAUACUGCUUUCCAGAAUGGUUGCACCAAUUUGCAGUCCCACCAGCAAU